RNAcentral lists this unclassified non-coding RNA (373 nucleotides) under soil metagenome. RNAcentral's name for it is "partial contains internal transcribed spacer 2 and large subunit ribosomal RNA". The stretch from base 1 to 120 matches the Rfam family "5.8S ribosomal RNA", at positions 35 to 154 of the family's 154-position model. The record is from RNAcentral.
GAUGAAGAACGUAGCGAAAUGCGAUAAUUAAUGUGAAUUGCAGAAUUCCGUGAAUCAUCGAGUCUUUGAACGCACAUUGCGCCUCAUGGCAUUCCGUGAGGCAUGCCCAUCUCAGCGUUAGAAAAUAUUCUCAAAUUUUAGUUUUGUGCUAAAAUUUGGAUCAUGUCAAAGAAGCUAUACUAUUAUUGUGAUCGCUCUUUGGAAAUUGAUAGGUCUUUGAGUUGCUACUCAUAGAACGUGAUGAAUCUUUCUUCGUUCUAUUGUAAUUGACUCUGGUAGUCCUAAAACUUGUAUGCCUGUGGCAUAUCUUGUAAUUUGACCUGAGAUUGGGUAGGGAUACCCGCUGAACUUAAGCAUAUCAAUAAGCGGAGGA